CGCGGCCUAUCAGCUUGUUGGUGAGGUAACGGCUCACCAAGGCAUCGACGGGUAGCUGGUCUGAGAGGACGAUCAGCCACACUGGGACUGAGACACGGCCCAGACUCCUACGGGAGGCAGCAGUAGGGAAUCUUGCGCAAUGGGCGAAAGCCCGACGCAGCAACGCCGCGUGGGGGAUGAAUGCCUUCGGGUUGUAAACCCCUUUCAGCAGGGACGAAAAUGACGGUACCUGCAGAAGAAGCUCCGGCCAACUACGUGCCAGCAGCCGCGGUAAUACGUAGGGAGCGAGCGUUGUCCGGAAUUAUUGGGCGUAAAGAGCUCGUAGGCGGUUCGGUAAGUCGGGUGUGAAAACUCAAGGCUCAACCUUGAGACGCCACUCGAUACUGCUGUGACUUGAGUCCGGUAGAGGAGUGUGGAAUUCCUGGUGUAGCGGUGAAAUGCGCAGAUAUCAGGAGGAACACCAGCGGCGAAGGCGGCACUCUGGGCCGGUACUGACGCUGAGGAGCGAAAGCAUGGGGAGCAAACAGGAUUAGAUACCCUGGUAGUCCAUGCCGUAAACGUUGGGCACUAGGUAUGGGAUCAUGUCAACGGAUUCCGUGCCGUAGCUAACGCAUUAAGUGCCCCGCCUGGGGAGUACGG
This 639-nucleotide ribosomal RNA is filed under the name uncultured Actinomycetes bacterium. RNAcentral's name for it is "bacterial SSU rRNA". It matches the Rfam family "Bacterial small subunit ribosomal RNA", at positions 232 to 885 of the family's 1533-position model. Lineage: Bacteria; Bacillati; Actinomycetota; Actinomycetes. The record is from RNAcentral.